Molecule: ribosomal RNA, 484 nt
Filed under: uncultured bacterium
Lineage: Bacteria
Description: partial 16S ribosomal RNA
Rfam family: Bacterial small subunit ribosomal RNA
Source: RNAcentral
AUUGAACGCUGGCGGCAGGCCUAACACAUGCAAGUCGAGCGGAUGAAGGGAGCUUGCUCCUGGAUUCAGCGGCGGACGGGUGAGUAAUGCCUAGGAAUCUGCCUGGUAGUGGGGGAUAACGUCCGGAAACGGGCGCUAAUACUGCAUACGUCCUGAGGGAGAAAGUGGGGGAUCUUCGGACCUCACGCUAUCAGAUGAGCCUAGGUCGGAUUAGCUAGUUGGUGGGGUAAAGGCCUACCAAGGCGACGAUCCGUAACUGGUCUGAGAGGAUGAUCAGUCACACUGGAGCUGAGACACGGUCCAGACUCCUACGGGAGGCAGCAGUGGGGAAUAUUGGACAAUGGGCGAAAGCCUGAUCCAGCCAUGCCGCGUGUGUGAAGAAGGUCUUCGGAUUGUAAAGCACUUUAAGUUGGGAGGAAGGGCAGUAAGUUAAUACCUUGCUGUUUUGACGUUACCAACAGAAUAAGCACCGGCUAACUUCGUG